GGGUCAGUAGCUCAGUUGGUAGAGCAGUAGGCUCUUAACCUAUUGGUCCAGGGUUCGAAUCCCUGCUGACCCACCA
This 76-nucleotide transfer RNA is filed under the name Candidatus Peregrinibacteria bacterium RIFOXYB2_FULL_32_7. RNAcentral describes it as "tRNA-Lys". It matches the Rfam family "tRNA". Rfam says of the family: Transfer RNA (tRNA) molecules are approximately 80 nucleotides in length. Their secondary structure includes four short double-helical elements and three loops (D, anti-codon, and T loops). Further hydrogen bonds mediate the characteristic L-shaped molecular structure. tRNAs have two regions of fundamental functional importance: the anti-codon, which is responsible for specific mRNA codon recognition, and the 3' end, to which the tRNAs corresponding amino acid is attached (by aminoacyl-tRNA synthetases). tRNAs cope with the degeneracy of the genetic code in two manners: having more than one tRNA (with a specific anti-codon) for a particular amino acid; and 'wobble' base-pairing, i.e. permitting non-standard base-pairing at the 3rd anti-codon position. The record is from RNAcentral. Lineage: Bacteria; Candidatus Peregrinibacteriota.